This 505-nucleotide ribosomal RNA is filed under the name uncultured Bacillota bacterium. Its description in RNAcentral is "bacterial SSU rRNA". It matches the Rfam family "Bacterial small subunit ribosomal RNA", at positions 399 to 896 of the family's 1533-position model. Lineage: Bacteria; Bacillati; Bacillota. The record is from RNAcentral.
GCGUGAGUGAUGAAGGCCUUCGGGUCGUAAAACUCUGUGUUAGGGAAGAACCAGUACCGUCGAAUAGGGCGGUACCUUGACGGUACCUAACCAGAAAGCCACGGCUAACUACGUGCCAGCAGCCGCGGUAAUACGUAGGUGGCAAGCGUUGUCCGGAAUUAUUGGGCGUAAAGCGCGCGCAGGCGGUCCUUUAAGUCUGAUGUGAAAGCCCACGGCUCAACCGUGGAGGGUCAUUGGAAACUGGGGGACUUGAGUGCAGAAGAGAAGAGCGGAAUUCCACGUGUAGCGGUGAAAUGCGUAGAGAUGUGGAGGAACACCAGUGGCGAAGGCGGCUCUUUGGUCUGUAACUGACGCUGAGGCGCGAAAGCGUGGGGAGCAAACAGGAUUAGAUACCCUGGUAGUCCACGCCGUAAACGAUGAGUGCUAAGUGUUAGAGGGUUUCCGCCCUUUAGUGCUGAAGUUAACGCAUUAAGCACUCCGCCUGGGGAGUACGGUCGCAAGACUG